This 73-nucleotide transfer RNA is filed under the name Ovis aries (sheep). It matches the Rfam family "tRNA". Rfam says of the family: Transfer RNA (tRNA) molecules are approximately 80 nucleotides in length. Their secondary structure includes four short double-helical elements and three loops (D, anti-codon, and T loops). Further hydrogen bonds mediate the characteristic L-shaped molecular structure. tRNAs have two regions of fundamental functional importance: the anti-codon, which is responsible for specific mRNA codon recognition, and the 3' end, to which the tRNAs corresponding amino acid is attached (by aminoacyl-tRNA synthetases). tRNAs cope with the degeneracy of the genetic code in two manners: having more than one tRNA (with a specific anti-codon) for a particular amino acid; and 'wobble' base-pairing, i.e. permitting non-standard base-pairing at the 3rd anti-codon position. The record is from Rfam by way of RNAcentral. Lineage: Eukaryota; Metazoa; Chordata; Mammalia; Artiodactyla; Bovidae.
UCCCUGGUGGUCCAGUGGCUAAGACAUAGCACUCCCAAUGCAGGGGGCCUAGGUUUGAUUCCUGUUUAGGGAA